Drosophila busckii is the source of this 757-nucleotide RNA transcript. It is a transcript of the gene named keratin-associated protein 5-5, with no coding region annotated. NCBI's taxonomy places the organism in Eukaryota, Metazoa, Arthropoda, Insecta, Diptera, Drosophilidae. The transcript is spliced from 4 exons. The record is from RefSeq and is a predicted model, not a curated record.
UUGCAGCCUAUAAACAAACAGGAUGUGUGACCCUUGUUGUGGACCCUUUGAGCCCAGGGGCUGUCGCAGUCGCGAGCUGCGUUGCGGCAUUCUCUAUACAACCUGCGACUGCGUUAAGCGCAAUGGACUUCAGGAUAAAUGCCCGCGCGCAGCCUGCCAGGGACGUCCUGCCUGCAUGUGCUUUCCGUUCCCCUCCUGCGGCCCCGCCUCGUUUCCGCUGCGCUUCGCCAACAUGACCAUGGGCGUCAAUAACAAGCGCAUGCGUUGCGCCGCAACGGCCGCAACCUGCGCCGGCGGCGGUGGCUUGUCACGCGCCUGCGGUGGCUGUUGCGGUGGUGGUGGUGGCGGCUGCGGCGGCGGCUGCGGACCCUGCGGCGGUGGCGGCGGCUGCUGUGGCCCAUGUGGUGGCUGUCCUUGUCCCGCACGCUAUUUGGUUAAUAAGGACUGUGCGCCCUGUGUUUGGUGUGCGCCAUGCAAAGCUCACUGCUACAACACACCGCCCAAGUGCUGCUGCUAGCCAAGGGCGCGCGCACCAAACCACAAAUAUACCCUCGCUAUUUAGUAUGUUAGUAGGGCUGCUCCAAUAGUUCACAAACUGAUGCUGCGGCUUCUGAUGCACAAGCGCUCAUCUCUCGUCGAUGCGGCAGCGUGAAGGAAGACGCAGUAGUUGGCAAAGUUUGGUGUUGUUUAUUAUAACGAUGCGUUUAACUAAAAAGAAACCAAAAAAAAAAACAAAACGCCAGGGAGCCACACAUUU